UUCCAUUGAAUUUGAAUUAUCUUUGAUCUCAAUUUCAUAACAAAACAUUUAUUUUUCACUGGAAAAAGCUCUAAAGAUUACCAUGCAUGCAAUGGGAAAAUUAAAGACAACAAGGAAGAAAAUAGAAAAUGGAUCAGUUGCAACGUUAAUAGAAAGCAGAGCAUGGCAAAAUUUUUAAGCAGCAGCAGAAGCAGAUUCUCUCUCCACAGCUUUCUUCAAGAGACUAUCUUUUUCCAACACCAUCUGAACAGG
Molecule: long non-coding RNA, 252 nt
Filed under: Manihot esculenta (cassava)
Lineage: Eukaryota; Viridiplantae; Streptophyta; Magnoliopsida; Malpighiales; Euphorbiaceae
Description: long non-coding RNA (MESC_LNC012878)
Source: RNAcentral